Molecule: ribosomal RNA, 468 nt
Filed under: uncultured bacterium
Lineage: Bacteria
Description: partial 16S ribosomal RNA
Rfam family: Bacterial small subunit ribosomal RNA
Source: RNAcentral
GACGAACGCUGGCGGCGUGCUUAACACAUGCAAGUCGAACGGAAAGGCCCUGCUUUUGUGGGGUGCUCGAGUGGCGAACGGGUGAGUAACACGUGAGUAAACUGCCCUUGACUUUGGGAUAUCUUCAGGAAACUGGGGCUAAUACCGGAUAGGAGCUGCUGCUGCAUGGGGGGGGGUGGAAAGCUUCGGCGGUUGGGGAUGGACUCGCGGCUUAUCAGCUUGUUGGUGGGGUAGUGGCUUACCAAGGCUUUGACGGGUAGCCGGCCUGAGAGGGUGACCGGCCACAUUGGGACUGAGAUACGGCCCAGACUCCUACGGGAGGCAGCAGUGGGGAAUAUUGCACAAUGGGCGGAAGCCUGAUGCAGCAACGCCGCGUGCGGGAUGACGGCCUUCGGGUUGUAAACCGCUUUCGCCUGUGACGAAGCGUGAGUGACGGUAAUGGGUAAAGAAGCACCGGCUAACUACGUG